This 20-nucleotide non-coding RNA is filed under the name Arabidopsis thaliana (thale cress). The record is from RNAcentral. Lineage: Eukaryota; Viridiplantae; Streptophyta; Magnoliopsida; Brassicales; Brassicaceae.
UGGGUGAAAUUCUGGUGUCG